GGCGAGUGGCGAACGGGUGAGUAAUGUAUCGGAACGUGCCCAGUAGCGGGGGAUAACUACGCGAAAGCGUAGCUAAUACCGCAUACGCCCUACGGGGAAAGGGGGGAGUCGCAAGACCUCUCACUAUUGGAGCGGCCGAUAUCGGAUUAGCUAGUUGGUGAGGUAACGGCUCACCAAGGCGACGAUCCGUAGCUGGUUUGAGAGGACGACCAGCCACACUGGGACUGAGACACGGCCCAG
Molecule: ribosomal RNA, 240 nt
Filed under: uncultured Burkholderiales bacterium
Lineage: Bacteria; Pseudomonadati; Pseudomonadota; Betaproteobacteria; Burkholderiales
Description: partial 16S ribosomal RNA
Rfam family: Bacterial small subunit ribosomal RNA
Source: RNAcentral